Molecule: ribosomal RNA, 478 nt
Filed under: uncultured Clostridium sp.
Lineage: Bacteria; Bacillati; Bacillota; Clostridia; Eubacteriales; Clostridiaceae
Description: bacterial SSU rRNA
Rfam family: Bacterial small subunit ribosomal RNA
Source: RNAcentral
GGAUGAACGCUGGCGGCGUGCUUAACACAUGCAAGUCGAGCGAAGCGGUUUCAAGGAAGUUUUCGGACGGAAUUGAAAUUGACUUAGCGGCGGACGGGUGAGUAACGCGUGGGUAACCUGCCUCAUACAGGGGGAUAACAGUCGGAAACGACUGCUAAUACCGCAUAAGCACACAGUGCCGCAUGGUACGGUGUGAAAAACUCCGGUGGUAUGAGAUGGACCCGAGUCUGAUUAGGUAGUUGGUGAGGUAACGGCCCACCAAGCCGACGAUCAGUAGCCGACCUGAGAGGGUGACCGGCCACAUUGGGACUGAGACACGGCCCAAACUCCUACGGGAGGCAGCAGUGGGGAAUAUUGGACAAUGGGGGAAACCCUGAUCCAGCGACGCCGCGUGAGCGAAGAAGUAUUUCGGUAUGUAAAGCUCUAUCAGCAGGGAAGAAAAUGACGGUACCUGACUAAGAAGCCCCGGCUAACUACG